RNAcentral lists this small nuclear RNA (312 nucleotides) under Meriones unguiculatus (Mongolian gerbil). RNAcentral describes it as "7SK RNA (ENSMUGG00000015836.1)". It matches the Rfam family "7SK RNA". From Rfam's summary of the family: 7SK was discovered as an abundant small nuclear RNA in the mid-70s but a possible function has only recently been suggested. Two independent studies have found that 7SK RNA binds the CDK9/cyclin T complex (known as elongation factor P-TEFb). Lineage: Eukaryota; Metazoa; Chordata; Mammalia; Rodentia; Muridae. The record is from RNAcentral.
AGAUUUGAGAGCAAUCUGGCCACAACAUCUGUCAUGACACUGCUCUCCAGGGCGGAUUCAGUUGAUCUGGCUGGCUGGGCAGCCUUCCGCCUUCUUCCUCCCUCGCCGCUCUGGGUGCCUCUGCUGAAGAUGCCAAGGGAAGACUUGGGCAUGGAGGAGAACCAGCCUCCAGUCAGGGGCAUUCAAGUAGCUGCUUUCCUCCAUGAGAGCCUCCACUGAGCUCUCAAGGUACGUGUGACUUCACCAUUGCCUCUCUUGGGGUACACUUAAAAAGUUUUUGUUUGGUUUGUUUUUUUCAGACAGGGUUUCUCU